RNAcentral lists this small RNA (763 nucleotides) under Arabidopsis thaliana (thale cress). Its description in RNAcentral is "ATSL077070". Lineage: Eukaryota; Viridiplantae; Streptophyta; Magnoliopsida; Brassicales; Brassicaceae. The record is from RNAcentral.
GAAUUCGUCGACCAGGACGGCGGAAUGCUCGACCAGGACGAUGAAUGGGCGAUGAAAAUCUAUCGGGUUAGAGGAAUGGUCGACCGGGUCCGAGAAUUCGUCGACCAGGACGAGGAGUGGUCGAGGAUUUGUCGACCAGGAGUUGAAAUCGUCGACCGGGUCCGAGAAUUCGUCGACCAGGACGGCGGAACCCUCGACCAGGACGAUGAAUGGGCGAUGAAAAUCUAUCGGGUUCGAGGAAUGGUCGACCAGAAGUUGGAAUCGUCGACCGGGUCCGAGAAUUCGUCGACCAGGCCGAGGAGUGGUCGAGGAUUUGUCGACCAGGAGUUGAAAUCGUCGACCGGGACCGAGAAUUCGUCGACCAGGACGGCGGAACCCUCGACCAGGACGAUGAAUGGGCGAUGAAAAUCUAUCGGGUUCGAGGAAUGGUCGACCAGGGGUUGAAAUCGUCGACCAGGUCCGAGACUUCAUCGACCGGGUCCGAGGAUUCGUCGACCAGGACGGCCGGAUGUCCGAGAAAAAAAAAUGUUGCCGAAUAACUUUCGAAAAUCAUUGGAUAUGAUGCAAUGUUUUGUGAUCGAAUCUCUUAAAAUACAUCAAUAAAGAGUUUAGGAUGUCAAGUUUGCAUCAAAUAUGCCCACGGAGCCCCAACUAGACCAUGAAAAUCCGUUGUUGUAUCAGGUCAAAUGACCUAGCUAGAGGUGUCAGAAAAUUAUGUAAAUUUACCAGAAAAUAGGAUUUAGUAUCCUUAUGAUGCAUGCUA